Molecule: RNA transcript, 1254 nt
Organism: Heterocephalus glaber (naked mole-rat)
Lineage: Eukaryota; Metazoa; Chordata; Mammalia; Rodentia; Bathyergidae
Gene: Bud23
Gene name: BUD23 rRNA methyltransferase and ribosome maturation factor
Source: RefSeq, a predicted model, not a curated record
ACCGGCGUGCAGCUUGCUGAGACUUGAGGAUGGCGUGCCGCGGCCGGAGACCCGAACAUGGCGGACCUCCGGAACUGUUUUACGACCAGAAUGAAGCCCGGAAAUACGUUCGCAAGUGAGGGGAGCCUGGAUACCGCGCGGCGUCUGGCUCGAGGAUGAUUGAUGUCCAGACCAAGAUGACUGAGCGAGCAUUGGAGCUCCUUUGCCUGCCUGAGGGACAGCCCUGUUACCUGUUGGAUAUUGGCUGUGGUACUGGGCUGAGUGGAGAUCAGCUCACGGAUGAAGGGCACUAUUGGGUGGGCAUGGACAUCAGCCCCGCCAUGCUGGAUGCUGCCUUGAAUCGAGAGGCGGAGGGAGACCUUCUUCUGGGUGACAUGGGCCGUGGUAUUCCUUUCAGACCCAGUUCCUUUGAUGGUUGUAUCAGCAUUUCUGCUGUGCAGUGGCUCUGUAAUGCUAACAAGAAGUCUGACAUCCCUGCCAAGCGCCUGUACUGCUUUUUUUCUUCUCUGUAUUCUGUUCUUGUCCGUGGGGCCCGGGCUGUCCUGCAGCUGUACCCGGAGAACUCAGAGCAGUUGGAGCUCAUCACAACCCAGGCCACGCGGGCUGGCUUCACGGGCGGUGUGGUGGUGGAUUACCCCAACAGUGCCAAAGCCAAGAAGUUCUACCUCUGCCUAUUCUCUGGGCCUUCGGCCUUUCUACCCAAGGGGCUGAGCGAAGGUGAGGACGGAGAGGAGGCCACAGAGUCCAAGUUCACCAAGGACAGUCCUUCCCGGUCCCAGCCCCUUCCUGGAGACACCAGCUGCCCUGGGCUCGUCCUGGUCACCCGGAGCAGCCCUUGGGCCUCCGUGCAGUUACGGCCCGUGAAGGACGAGGCUGCUUCUGAGCACUCAGGGCCGCGCCUGCAGGAGCUGACGGACUCCUGUGGCCAGCACCCCUCGAGCUCUGUGGGGAGCACUGUGCUGGGGCCCCGUACAGGCUGGCGCGGCGGGGCGUGGUGAAGAAGAGCCGAGAGUGGGUGCUGGAGAAGAAGGAGCGCCGCAGGCGGCAGGGCAAGGAGGUCCGGCCUGACACCCAGUACACCGGCCGCAAGCGCAGGCCCCGCUUCUGAGCCCAGUGCCAGCCUCCGCUACGUUUUCUGGAUUGACUGACAACACAGUGUUUAGAAGAGUUCUACAGUUCUAAGAAUAGUUUUUCUAAAGUUUCUAAGAGCUUAUUUUAUUCUAAAACGGAAGCAAUAAACCACUUUCUGUGGGA